AGUGAACGCUGGCGGUAGGCCUAACACAUGCAAGUCGAACGGCAGCACAGGAGAGCUUGCUCUCUGGGUGGCGAGUGGCGGACGGGUGAGGAAUACAUCGGAAUCUACUUUUUCGUGGGGGAUAACGUAGGGAAACUUACGCUAAUACCGCAUACGACCUACGGGUGAAAGCAGGGGAUCUUCGGACCUUGCGCGAUUGAAUGAGCCGAUGUCGGAUUAGCUAGUUGGCGGGGUAAAGGCCCACCAAGGCGACGAUCCGUAGCUGGUCUGAGCGGAUGCUCAGCCACACUGGAACUGAGACACGGGCCAGACUCCUACGGGAGGCAGCAGUGGGGAAUAUUGGACAAUGGGCGCAAGCCUGAUCCAGCCAUACCGCGUGAGUGAAGAAGGCCUUCGGGUUGUAAAGCCCUUUUGUUGGGAAAGAAAUCCAGCUGGUUAAUACCCGGUUGGGAUGACGGUACCCAAAGAAUAAGCACCGGCUAACUUCGUGCCAGCCGCCGCCGUAA
Molecule: ribosomal RNA, 506 nt
Filed under: uncultured bacterium
Lineage: Bacteria
Description: partial 16S ribosomal RNA
Rfam family: Bacterial small subunit ribosomal RNA
Source: RNAcentral